UCUAAUAUGGCAGAACAGUGCCAUGAAUUUAAGCUUCAUUUACGAAGAACAAAUCUUCUAUUAGAA
This 66-nucleotide transfer RNA is filed under the name Aneurus similis. RNAcentral describes it as "tRNA-Leu". The record is from RNAcentral. Lineage: Eukaryota; Metazoa; Arthropoda; Insecta; Hemiptera; Aradidae.